RNAcentral lists this ribosomal RNA (492 nucleotides) under uncultured bacterium. RNAcentral describes it as "partial 16S ribosomal RNA". It matches the Rfam family "Bacterial small subunit ribosomal RNA", at positions 29 to 507 of the family's 1533-position model. The record is from RNAcentral.
AGUGAACGCUGGCGGUAGGCCUAACACAUGCAAGUCGAACGGCAGCACAGUAAGAGCUUGCUCUUACGGGUGGCGAGUGGCGGACGGGUGAGGAAUACAUCGGAAUCUACUUUUUCGUGGGGGAUAACGUAGGGAAACUUACGCUAAUACCGCAUACGACCUACGGGUGAAAGCAGGGGAUCUUCGGACCUUGCGCGAUUGAAUGAGCCGAUGUCGGAUUAGCUAGUUGGCGGGGUAAAGGCCCACCAAGGCGACGAUCCGUAGCUGGUCUGAGAGGAUGAUCAGCCAAACUGGAACUGAGACACGGUCCAGACUCCUACGGGAGGCAGAAGUGGGGAAUAUUGGACAAUGGGCGCAAGCCUGAUCCAGCCAUACCGCGUGGGUGAAGAAGGCCUUCGGGUUGUAAAGCCCUUUUGUUGGGAAAGAAAAGCAGCAGGUUAAUACCCCGCUGUUCUGACGGUACCCAAAGAAUAAGCACCGGCUAACUUCGUG